This 586-nucleotide ribosomal RNA is filed under the name Pichia kluyveri. Its description in RNAcentral is "eukaryotic LSU rRNA". It matches the Rfam family "Eukaryotic large subunit ribosomal RNA", at positions 67 to 664 of the family's 3401-position model. Lineage: Eukaryota; Fungi; Ascomycota; Pichiomycetes; Pichiales; Pichiaceae. The record is from RNAcentral.
CACCGUGCAUUGCCUCAGUAGCGGCGAGUGAAGCGGCAAGAGCUCAGAUUUGAAAUCUCACCUAGUGUGCGAGUUGUAAAUUGCAGGUUGGAGUCUCGGGUUAGACGUGUGUGCAAGUCCCUUGGAACAGGGUGCCACUGAGGGUGAGAGCCCCGUAGCGUGCAUGUCGACACCUGUGAGGCCCUUCUGACGAGUCGAGUUGUUUGGGAAUGCAGCUCUAAGUGGGUGGUAAAUUCCAUCUAAGGCUAAAUAUUGGCGAGAGACCGAUAGCGAACAAGUACUGUGAAGGAAAGAUGAAAAGCACUUUGAAAAGAGAGUGAAACAGCACGUGAAAUUGUUGAAAGGGAAGGGUAUUGGGCUCGACAUGGGAUUUACGCAUCGUUGCCUCUCGUGGGCGGCGCUCUGGGUUUUUCCUGGGCCAGCAUCGGUUUUCGUUGCAGGACAAGGACAAUUGGAAUGUGGCUCCUCGGAGUGUUAUAGCCUUUUGUAGAUGCUGCGUAUGGGGACCGAGGGCUGCGGCGGACUCGUUUCGUCUCGGAUGCUGGCACAACGGCGCAAUACCGCCCGUCUGACCACCCGAACAACA